RNAcentral lists this ribosomal RNA (253 nucleotides) under uncultured bacterium. Its description in RNAcentral is "partial 16S ribosomal RNA". It matches the Rfam family "Bacterial small subunit ribosomal RNA", at positions 524 to 776 of the family's 1533-position model. The record is from RNAcentral.
UACGUAGGGGGCGAGCGUUGUCCGGAAUCAUUGGGCGUAAAGCGCGUGUAGGCGGUCCGGUAAGUCCGCUGUGAAAGUCGGGGGCUCAACCCUCGGAUGCCGGUGGAUACUGUCGGGCUCGAGUACGGAAGAGGCGAGUGGAAUUCCUGGUGUAGCGGUGGAAUGCGCAGAUAUCAGGAGGAACACCAAUAGCGAAGGCAGCUCGCUGGGACGGUACUGACGCUAAGGCGCGAAAGCGUGGGGAGCGAACAGG